GUAUGAGCGGGGGCGGGGGUGGCAGGGGGUGACUUUGUGUGUAUGAGAAGUUCAAGGGACAGGUGCCCAGGGACCUGUUAGCCCAGGGCAGCUGAAGGAUGGAAAACAAUACAGUCAGCAUUUUCCAUCCUGUCCUCUUGAAUGGUUUGGAUUUUUACAAUAAGUACAUGUUACUUUUACAAUAAGGGGAAGAGAAGUUUCACUAUGUCCUGUGGAAAUGCUUGUUAAGAAUUCUUGUUAAGGAUGUGUCUGGGAAGGUCCAGCCUCUCCUUCUCUGAAUUUCAGUAUAGCAGAAACCCUACGUCUCCUUUGUGAAUAAGAAUCUCCUGGGGAGCACACAUUUUUGUUUAUUCAGAGAGCAGUUCAAGUCUCAUGGCCGGCCAGCAGAUGUGCAAAGGGAGAGGACUCCAGAGCCACAGCAGAGGGACCACUCCACUGGCAUAAAGGACACAAGCUUGGGCCCUUAACAGGGCACCCUCUGCCUCUCUGUAGAGCCCCAAGGCAUGACUAAGCCUCUUGUGGGGAUUUCUGAAAUCUUCAUGUCUGCAGCCCUGGGAGGCCCCAAGCUGAAGGAUGUGAAAGAUUUGUGAUACUAGACAGAUUCAGCCUGCCCUGGUAGCCUGAAGAACCUCAGCAGUGAGCUUGCAACUAUGUGAUUGCACUGAAAAUGUGUCUCUAAUGUCUGUCUGCCUGUCUUAGUGCUGCCAUCAGGAUCCAUGCUGUGCUGGUUCUGAGCACUUUUACAUGUACUAAACUGUGUGAUCCUCAUAACACGCCUGUGUGGGAGAAUUAAUAAUCCUGUGCUACAGGUGAAGACAUUGAAGCCCAAGGUCCUAUGGCUGGUUUGUGCCAGAGCCAGGACAUGAAACCAGGAAGUCUGUGGCUACAGUCUGGGCACUUCACUACUGCACCAAAAACCUCAAUGACAUCUGUGCCAUUCUGUAAAUGGAGUCCUUCCUGUCCAGGAUGUCAGCUGUCUCCAGUGCACAGCUCUCUUUCUCUUCCACCCACACCCCAAGCAUAGUCCAGUGCACCUGCAAAACCUGAGACAAAGGAACAUGCACCAGCACCUCAUGGCCAGCAAUGGCUGGUCAGUGAUCUCAACCAAAAGACAGGGGCUCUGGACCCAGCAGGACCAGCCUAGAUGCCCUGCCUGCCUACCUCCCUGGUUCUUUCCUCAGCCACUCCUGCCUGGAGAGAAGCUUGUGAGAGGACAGAAGGCAAACACAGAGGGAGUUAAUCUGAGCCCCAAGUGUUCCCCUGGGUGCCCCCUGAUUACUACCACAGUCUUAGGAGUAGACAGAGGCAGGAGGGCAAGUGAGGAGGGUUCUAAGCACACUUGGAAGCAGUAAAGGGGCCUACAAAUCUGGCAAGGACAGGAAGACAGCUUUGCAAAAAAUCACAGACCCACAGGAAUAGCAACCUUCUCACCCAGCAGGGCAAUACUUCCACUAGCUGCUCCUGAGAACUGCCUCUCUCUCUCAGCCCAGACUGGCCUGGCCUUGGGUCAGAACCAUGGGAUCUCCAUCCACAGGCCAUCCCCUCACUCACAGAGGCCAAGACAUCUUCCCCACGGGAGGAAUGCUACAUCAGACUUCUCUAGUCUUCAGGCUGCACUGAGAUACCCCUCCACUGACACAGAUCUUACCUGCUAACCCUCUGGACUCUAGUCCCAAACCACGACUUUUUCCAGACCACCAUAUUUAGGGCAGAAUUCAGUGUGGCCUGGAAUUGUGCUUUGUGAUGAUUCGAAUGAAUGAAUGCAUUGAUUAAUAAAUAAUAAAUUAUGAGUAUUCGAUGAA
Herpailurus yagouaroundi (jaguarundi) is the source of this 1802-nucleotide long non-coding RNA. RefSeq lists it as uncharacterized. Lineage: Eukaryota; Metazoa; Chordata; Mammalia; Carnivora; Felidae. The record is from RefSeq and is a predicted model, not a curated record. The transcript has 3 exons.